UAUGGAGAUAUUUUCUUAGGACAUGUAUAUAAACAUAAAGGAACAUUUUAUUUUAUUUUUCUUUUUUUAUCAUAUUAUUAUUAUUUUUUUUUUGUUCGAUUCAGAAAGUAUUGUUAGAAUCAAAAAGUAAUAUUUUUAAUAUUUUUUUGUACAUUAUAAUUAUGUUUCUUAUUUUAUGUAUGGCCUUCCGAGAUAUAUUUAAAAGAAUUAAAGUGAUUACGAAAUAAAAAUUUUUAGCCUAUCCGUAUGCACUGUUGGUUUCUUAUUCUUAUUAUUUGAUUAUGUUAUCCUUGUCUUCUAUACUUUCAACCUUAUAGGGUCCAGUAUAUUUAGAGUCUAGCUUAUGUCCUGUUUCAUUUUUCAAUAAGACUUUAUUUUCUAUAGAUAUAUCUACGUCAUUAGUCAAAAGGUCAUAAAAUUCUUUGUUUUUCCUCUUAUUUGCUUCUAUCAUAAUUCUAGCUCUUUUAUGUGCUACUUCUAAUCUAUAUUUACUCUCUCUAGCAUAAUCAUCUAAGUUAUACAUAGGCUCUAUGUUUUUAAUAGUAUUAAAUUGCUUUGGCAAAUUUGAUGUUUUUCCAAAAACUAACUCAUAUAGACAGUAAUCAUGUUGCAUUGUGGGUGUAGUAUUAAAGCAGUAUACGAAAUAUUUCAUAUGUAUGAGCGUAUGUAUUCAUUAAAUUUCUGUGACUACUGUUCCAACUGUCUGGUGGUGUGCUUUAGACAUUAUAUUUUGAAUUGUCUGCACAACUCCUUUAUAAUCGAAUUUUAUACUCGGUUCCGUACCUUAAUAUAAAAGACUCGAAAAUAGCUUUUGCGACAGUGUUGGCACUUUUAUUUGCAAUCGGAAUGGCAACUAAAUAUUUUGUAAAAUCACAUAUAAGUGUGACUGCAUAUUCGUUACAAUUAUCCGAUUUUGGUAGAGAUAGAUUGCGCCAACUGUGUCUAUAAUCACUCUGCCGAAAGCAUUUAUUGGAGUGCCAGUGAUUGUUACUUUUGAUUUUUGACAUUUGUCAAUAUAAUUAGUAUUAGUAAUAUCGGGUCAUACCUAUCCAAUAGUAAUACCUUUUGACCUUGGCUAAGGUUCUUGUUAUUCCAGUGUGACCUACUUGCACUGGAUCGUUGUGAAAUGUAGAUAGUAUAGCUUCUUUUUCUUUAUCAUUAUAUAUUCCGGUCACCGGGUUGAGUUGAGCUACUCUCAAUGAUUUUAUUAUCUUGUUGCCCAUUUUUUUAAACUAUCUAUUGAAACUUGAUCAAAGAUUUUUUCCCACGGUGCCACUUUUAGUUGACUGAUUUUAUAUAUACCGGCUUGCAUUUCAAGCCUUUGGAAUAACUGACCUAAGUCGAGAACUCCGUUAAAAAAUAAAUCGCUAACACAUAUCUUGCAAUAAUUUGUUUUCCAUGUUUGAAGAAACAGGUGAUUUACGUACUUUGUCAUCAUUGAUGACUCCGUAAACAUUUGGCUUUGAAGCUUUUUCUAUAGAUUGCCUUGACAACUCUGUUUCUUUUUCUCCUGCGCAGGAUUGCUGUCUACUUUGAUAUCUUGUAGUGACUUUAUUUAUAUUUUUGUUAAUGACUUUUAGCUCUUCGAUGGUUAUUCUCGAUAACGCAUCUUCUACGUAAUUGUCUUUACCCUUUAGAUACUCUACAGUGAAGUUGUACUCUUCUAUUUCAAGUCUUAUUCGCGUGAAUUUGGAACUCGGAUUUAUCAUGGAAAAUAGGCACAUAAGUGGUCUGUGAUCUGUUUUGAUAGUAAAGUGUCUACCAUAAAUAUAUGGUCUGAAGUGUGUUAUUGCCCAAUGAAUUGCCACAACUUGGGAUCUCGCUGGCAGAAUUAUGGAGUUAUUCCCAGAACAGGAUAUUAUUGGAACAUAAAUUGGAAAUUUUAAGUUGAUUGGUCUAAUUAUAAAAUUUAUUUUUUAAUUAAAUCGAUUCCUAAUAUUUUAUCACAGGGAAAGCGAAUCGUAAAUUUACAAAAUGAAAAUUAUGUGGGAUUAUAUAUUUAGUAGUCUGUAUCUCAAUUUCGGACCGAGUGUCAGGAAAAAUAUCUGCAUUUUCUUUGAGGAUUGAUAUGUUUGCACCAGUGUCUAUUAAAAAUAAAAGUUGCUUUCCUGUUGCUACAUUUUUAAAA
Drosophila biarmipes is the source of this 2128-nucleotide long non-coding RNA. RefSeq lists it as uncharacterized. The transcript is spliced from 2 exons. NCBI's taxonomy places the organism in Eukaryota, Metazoa, Arthropoda, Insecta, Diptera, Drosophilidae. The record is from RefSeq and is a predicted model, not a curated record.